This is a non-coding RNA of Ricinus communis (castor bean), 108 nucleotides long. The record is from Rfam. NCBI's taxonomy places the organism in Eukaryota, Viridiplantae, Streptophyta, Magnoliopsida, Malpighiales, Euphorbiaceae.
AGUCCAUGGUGUGGGCAUUACAAUAAAAGUGAAUUGAAGCGAUCACAUGCUUCAUGAAAAGAUUCAGCAUCCUCUUGAUAAAAAUUAGAAAUUUCAGCUCUUAAUUCU